RNAcentral lists this ribosomal RNA (532 nucleotides) under Glocianus punctiger. RNAcentral describes it as "partial 16S ribosomal RNA". It matches the Rfam family "Bacterial large subunit ribosomal RNA", at positions 1809 to 2611 of the family's 2925-position model. Lineage: Eukaryota; Metazoa; Arthropoda; Insecta; Coleoptera; Curculionidae. The record is from RNAcentral.
AAAAACAUGGCCUUUUGACUAUAAUUUAAGGUCUAGCCUGCUCAAUGAGUUUUAAAUAGCCGCAGUAUCUUAACUGUGCAAAGGUAGCAUAAUCAUUAGUUUUUUAAUUGAAAGCUGGAAUGAAAGGUUGAAUGAGAAAAUUACUGUCUCUAAAAAAAUUUUAUUGAAUUUUAUUUUUAAGUAAAAAAGCUUAAAUUUAGAUAAAAGACGAGAAGACCCUAUAGAGUUUUAUAUUUUUUUUAAAAAAAUAUUCAUUUAAGUAUUAAAAAAUUUGUUUAAAUUCAAUAUUUAGUUGGGGUGAUUGGAAAAUUAAUAAAACUUUACUUUAAAUAUUACAUUUAUUUAUGAAAAAAUGAUCCUUAUUUUGAGAUUAUAAGAUAAAAUUACCUUAGGGAUAACAGCGUAAUUUUUUUUGAGAGUUCCUAUCGAAAGAAAAGAUUGCGACCUCGAUGUUGGAUUAAAAUGCAUUUUUGGUGUAGAAGCUAAAUUAAUUAGGUCUGUUCGACCUUUAAAAUUUUACUUGAUCUGAGUC